Caenorhabditis elegans is the source of this 303-nucleotide long non-coding RNA. Ensembl annotates it as ncRNA. Its record names the gene C39B5.16. NCBI's taxonomy places the organism in Eukaryota, Metazoa, Nematoda, Chromadorea, Rhabditida, Rhabditidae. The record is from Ensembl.
CUCGAUGACUUCCUGGUGGGAUGGUCUGGUCUAUUAUUGAUUUUUUCCCGAACUUCGAAUUUUCGAAUUGCUAGAGCUCUAGCUGUAAAUUUUGAUGAGUGAAUUUGAAUUUCCGUUGCAACGGACUCAUUUGGAUCAAUGGAAAAAUGCAAAAUAUUGGAGUUAGAGAUUUUGACUGAGAUCUCGUAAAGUAUGCCGAAGUUUGAGAACAGCCGUUGAUAAAUUUGGAAUCUUUUUCGAUGGAAUUAUGUAUUUUUUUCGUAGAGUUGUAAAUAAUUGUAAUAAAUAAUUUUAUAUGUAACU